AGAACGAACGCUGGCGGCGCGCCUAAUACAUGCAAGUCGAGCGAGAAGACGUAGCAAUACGUUUGUAAAGCGGCGAACGGGUGAGGAAUACAUGGGUAACCUACCCUCGAGUGGGGAAUAACUAGCCGAAAGGUUAGCUAAUACCGCGUACGCUCCUUGGACUUCGGUUCAGGGAGGAAAGCGAUACCGUGGGUAUCGCGCUCUUGGAUGGGCUCAUGUCCUAUCAGCUUGUUGGUGAGGUAACGGCUCACCAAGGCUUCGACGGGUAGCCGGUCUGAGAGGACGAUCAGCCACACUGGCACUGCGACACGGGCCAGACUCCUACGGGAGGCAGCAGUAAGGAGUAUUGCGCAAUGGGCGAAAGCCUGACGCAGCGACGCCGCGUGGGGGAUGAAGGUCUUCGGAUUGUAAACCCCUUUCGGAGGAAGAUGGAACGAGCAAUCGUUCGGACGGUACCUCCAGAAGCAGCCACGGCUAACUUCGCGCCAGCAGCCGC
This 496-nucleotide ribosomal RNA is filed under the name uncultured soil bacterium. Its description in RNAcentral is "bacterial SSU rRNA". It matches the Rfam family "Bacterial small subunit ribosomal RNA", at positions 26 to 518 of the family's 1533-position model. The record is from RNAcentral.